RNAcentral lists this non-coding RNA (95 nucleotides) under Sagittula stellata. RNAcentral's name for it is "TPP sequence". It matches the Rfam family "TPP riboswitch aptamer (THI element)". Rfam says of the family: Vitamin B(1) in its active form thiamin pyrophosphate (TPP) is an essential coenzyme that is synthesised by coupling of pyrimidine and thiazole moieties in bacteria. The previously detected thiamin-regulatory element, thi box was extended, resulting in a new, highly conserved RNA secondary structure, the THI element, which is widely distributed in eubacteria and also occurs in some archaea. The record is from RNAcentral. Lineage: Bacteria; Pseudomonadati; Pseudomonadota; Alphaproteobacteria; Rhodobacterales; Roseobacteraceae. RNAcentral also lists the same sequence under 1 other name.
CACAAGCGACGGGGGCGCUCGGGAAACCGGGCUGAGACGUACCCUUCGAACCUGAACCGGAUAAUGCCGGCGGAGGGAGGCGCAGCGGAACGUCC